Molecule: ribosomal RNA, 433 nt
Filed under: uncultured bacterium
Lineage: Bacteria
Description: partial 16S ribosomal RNA
Rfam family: Bacterial small subunit ribosomal RNA
Source: RNAcentral
AACGAACGCUGGCGGCAUGCCUAGCACAUGCAAGUCGAACGAGACCUUCGGGUCUAGUGGCGCACGGGUGCGUAACGCGUGGGAACCUGCCCUUAGGUUCGGAAUAACUCCCCGAAAGGGGUGCUAAUACCGGAUAAUGUCUUCGGACCAAAGAGUUAUCGCCUUUGGAUGGGCCCGCGUUGGAUUAGCUAGUUGGUAGGGUAAAAGCCUACCAAGGCGACGAUCCAUAGCUGGUCUGAGAGGAUGAUCAGCCACACUGGGACUGAGACACGGCCCAGACUCCUACGGGAGGGAGCAGUGGGGAAUAUUGGACACUGGGCGAAAGCCUGAUCCAGCAAUGCCGCGUGAGUGAUGAAGGCCUUAGGGUUGUAAAGCUCUUUUACCCGGGAUGAUAAUGACAGUACCGGGAGAAUAAGCUCCGGCUAACUCCGUG